UACGGGGGGAGCAAGCGUUGUUCGGAUUCAUUGGGCGUAAAGGGUGCGUAGGUGGCAUGGUAAGUCGGAUGUGAAAUCCCGGGGCUCAACCCCGGAACUGCAUUCGAUACUGCUGCGCUAGAGUACUGGAGAGGAGAUUGGAAUUUACGGUGUAGCAGUGAAAUGCGUAGAUAUCGUAAGGAAGACCAGUGGCGAAGGCGGAUCUCUGGACAGUUACUGACACUGAGGCACGAAAGCCAGGGGAGCAAACGGG
This 253-nucleotide ribosomal RNA is filed under the name uncultured bacterium. RNAcentral's name for it is "partial 16S ribosomal RNA". It matches the Rfam family "Bacterial small subunit ribosomal RNA", at positions 524 to 776 of the family's 1533-position model. The record is from RNAcentral.